Suricata suricatta (meerkat) is the source of this 289-nucleotide long non-coding RNA. RefSeq lists it as uncharacterized. NCBI's taxonomy places the organism in Eukaryota, Metazoa, Chordata, Mammalia, Carnivora, Herpestidae. The record is from RefSeq and is a predicted model, not a curated record. The transcript has 2 exons.
CACUGCAGAGUGAAGGCUCUUCAAUUUCCAAAUCUCCAUCUUCACCUAUUUAGGAUGAGGCACAAUGAUGAUGAAGAGAAGCAGGGUCAUCUCUACUUGUCAAAAAAGUGAACUCUUAAGAUCUUGACUUUGGUCACAUGUCCAGCAGAAGGUGGGGUAUGUGACACCCCGGAGGCUGUGGAACAGCCCUGGAAAAUGGAAGCAAAUGACUGUCUGACAUUUAUCGCUUCAAGUCCUAGAAAUAUCACUGCUUCCCCAUCUUCAAACACUGAGUUCACUGUCAAAAGCC